GACGAACGCUGGCGGCGUGCCUAAUACAUGCAAGUCGGACGAACUCUGGUAUUGAUUGGUGCUUGCAUCAUGAUUUACAUUUGAGUGAGUGGCGAACUGGUGAGUAACACGUGGGAAACCUGCCCAGAAGCGGGGGAUAACACCUGGAAACAGAUGCUAAUACCGCAUAACAAUUUGGACCGCAUGGUCCGAGCUUGAAAGAUGGCUUCGGCUA
This 214-nucleotide ribosomal RNA is filed under the name uncultured bacterium. RNAcentral describes it as "partial 16S ribosomal RNA". It matches the Rfam family "Bacterial small subunit ribosomal RNA", at positions 28 to 220 of the family's 1533-position model. The record is from RNAcentral.